RNAcentral lists this ribosomal RNA (490 nucleotides) under uncultured bacterium. RNAcentral describes it as "partial 16S ribosomal RNA". It matches the Rfam family "Bacterial small subunit ribosomal RNA", at positions 30 to 507 of the family's 1533-position model. The record is from RNAcentral.
AUUGAACGCUGGCGGCAGGCCUAACACAUGCAAGUCGAACGGUAACAGGAAGAAGCUUGCUUCUUUGCUGACGAGCGGCGGACGGGUGAGUAAUGUCUGGGAAACUGUCUGAUGGAGGGGGAUAACUACUGGAAACGGUAGCUAAUACCGCAUAACGUCGCAAGACCAAAGAGGGGGACCUUCGGGCCUCUUGCCAUCGGAUGUGCCCAGAUGGGAUUAGCUAGUAGGUGGGGUAACGGCUCACCUAGGCGACGAUCCCUAGCUGGUCUGAGAGGAUGACCAGCCACACUGGAACUGAGACACGGUCCAGACUCCUACGGGAGGCAGCAGUGGGGAAUAUUGCACAAUGGGCGCAAGCCUGAUGCAGCCAUGCCGCGUGUAUGAAGAAGGCCUUCGGGUUGUAAAGUACUUUCAGCGGGGAGGAAGGGAGUAAAGUUAAUACCUUUACUCAUUGACGUUACCCGCAGAAGAAGCACCGGCUAACUCCGUG